CAUCUUGAUAUUAUCGCAAAUAUCACAAAUGUACAAAACUUUUCCAAAAAGAACUCGGUAAACUUUCUUAACAAUACAGCGCUACAAUACGUAAACACAAUAGACGAACACUUUUUACGUGGGCGAUCAAUUGCGUUUGCUUAGCUGCCGGAUUCCCUUGAUGACGUAUAGUCACGUGACUCGCGAGCUCAAGAGUUUUCGAUCUUUUUCUGGAGGCGGGGCUUAUGAGCGUGAGAAACUAAGAAAUUAACUUCUAAAACCAGUAAUAUCUUAUUAAUCCGAGAUAAAUAAAUCAAAUUAAUAUUGUUAAAAUUCUUAGAAAAACAACUGAAAACUAAUAAGAGCAAAGUAUAGUUGCAUGACUCAGAACCUUUAAACCUUCAGGGAUAUCAAUAUUACAAUUACUAUUGUUAUCUGAACUGUGUGUCAAACAAUGAGGGUGCUUUUUCUUGUUUUUUUUCGACCACCCGUCCGCCCACUGACGGGUCUUUACUCGUUUGGGGGACUCCUAACAGUUUUUGGCUUGUUAAUUGCCUCCCAUGCCUUAAUAAUUUUGUCUCUUUUGGCCAUGUUCCUAUUCUUGAGCUCUUCGUUUGGUGGGUUUUCGCAAUCAUCUUGAUAGUGGUCAAACUCGCCAUACUUGAAGCACACAAUUACCCUAACUGGGCAUCGAGGGGAAGAUUUGGGACAAGAUGUGGAGGGAUGAUAUUUGGGUUUAUUUGAAGGAGAUGCUCAUUCAUUUGGGCUUUUCUGGGGUUUGUUGUGUUUUGGUUGGGUCUCUUUUUGUUGCUCAGUGUGAUACAAGCUCAUGUUCUCAAAUUGUACAUAGCUAUGGGCUGUUUUGGGGUUGGGUUUGUAUUGGGCCAUCUUGGCAGCUCUGGUUGCCUCUGCCUCUCUUAUAAUACUAAUCAAUUUAGGAAAUGGGGGUGCAAUGAUCUGGUUAUGGAGAUUCGUUACAGUUAAUAUAUAUUCGUCGUGACAUCCGAGCUUGAAUUUGUCCAGCAACUUUGGAUUGCUGCUUGAUGGGAGAACUCCCCCACCUCAACCAAUCUACUAACCUUCAAUUGGAGUCGCUUCAGGAAAUCUGAUGGUUUUUCAUCCUUACCCUGGACAAGACCCAUGAAUUCCUGAAGCAACAAGUUAUUGUUUUGAACAGCACCAUAGAUGCUGUCCAAAUAGGCCAGUAGACGAGUGAGGUGGUACCUGCCGCGACUUGUUUAGCAAAGACUUUAGCAGGCAUAAGGAAGCGAGUCACUUUCUCACGACGUUCCGAUUGCUCGGUCAGGCCAGCCAUAGUAGCUAUUUCCCUUGUAACAUCGUGAAAAGUCUCCCAGUCCACUUCACCUUGCUAAACUGGUUCCCUUCCAGAGAAGAGGCCAAGCCCUGGCCAGCUGAUAUGGGAUGACUCUGGGGUAGAGUUACCGCCUUGAGAGUUAUUAGAACUCCCUCUAACUAACUGGUCCAACUCCUCAAGAGUUAUCCCUGCCCCUGUAAGGAAAUCGCUCAGUGUAUCUGAGGGAGGGGGAGAAGGCAAAUCCUCCUUCAGGCUCCUUGACCUCCAAAGGGAUGGGGGUACCAACAAAUUAAUUACCUUCAGCCAUGAUUAACUAAUCAAACAAUAUAGGGAGUAUAACUAACAAAAUAUAUACUUAUAAAAAUAAACUAUAAAAGACCCAAGAUAUUUGCCCGAAAAUUAACAGUCUUAAAUAAAAUGACAAAAUAUCAAACACCAAAAUAAUGCAAACAGUAUCAAAAUAUAAUACAGAGAAGAAAAAAAACACACUAUCAACUACCAAAGAGUGCAAAACAAAUGUCCUAUCAAACUGAGUAGAUGACAGAUUGAUGGAACAAGAACCUGAUCAGGAAUAGUUUUAAACCUAAACCCUGAAUAUUCACUCAGGUGAAUGUACCGAAAGCGAGCACGCUCGUACAGGAAAACCUCUUUAUGCAGCACUCCUACGUAUCUCCUCACUCAAAUAACAGAGCUACAAUGGUGUAGAGAUAGGAUUUUCAAAACAAACAAAUGCAACAAAAUGAACUACAGUCACAUACUUGUUCCUAAAGAUGUUUUCACAUAAUACAAACAUGUAUACUUAUACCUUCUCUCCCUUAAUACCAUUUAUUCAAACGAUACCCAGAAGGAUUAUACUUUAGCCAAUUUCCUGACCUUGUGUAAGCUUAGGCAUUUUUAUCGUUGUCUUCUCCUGCAUUACUGCAGUGGAAAUAUUGGUGAAGUUUCUUAUACCUAUUCUUCCACAAUGUCUCCAUUGAUAAAGUUGAGUUCUUUUAUUUGACACUCAUCAUUGGCGAUCAAGGACUACAAAUCGGCUGAUAUCACUUUGGUGUUGGGUAAAUCUGCCCUCAUUCCAAACUUAACCCAUGAAGAAUUCAAUUUACUGAGCAAUCUCCAUCCUUUAUUUUUCUUUAUGUUGUCAAAAGUCAACUAAAUCCCCUCAUGUUCUCUAUAAUUGUCCAUGUAAUUUUUCUUCGUGGGGCUUUCGCACCUCUCUGGCCUACUAGACGUUUCUUGUUUUACUUUCAAAAAGGUAUCAAUGUGUUCUGUAAACAGUCCGUUUAGCCCCAACUCGUCCAAAUCGGAGUGGCCCAUAGAUUUAUUGUAUUGAUUCCCUACAUUGAAAUGCCACACUGCUUGAUGUACAAGUACCUUGUACCCCUAUCAAUAGCCUUUUCCAACUUGAGGGAUGCCCAGGUACCAAUAAGCACCCCCUCUUCUUGUUCAAUAUGCGUACAUGGGUCUGUUUGCAUGUUUCAACACAGGCAGAACAAAGGAGAAAUAUAAGUUUGCCUUUGACUAUGAACGGGUAAGGAGAAACCACUUUGCAUUUUAAUAGUCAAACCAAAAUAAUCCAAUAUGUUGUCUGAGAGAUUGUCUCUAAUGACUAUGACCUGAAUUAGUUGAUAAACAGAUAUUAAAGGGAAGUUAAUUGCUCAUAUUUCAUGUGUUCUCCCCGCAUUUAUAAAAAAGACAGCCUGCUUUGGUCUGUCCCUUGUAAAAUGUAUCCUGAGCAUCUUGAUUCAAAAUAGGGGUCCCUUCAGUUAAUGAAGGAGGUGAAGUAUUUUUUUUUUGGCACUGUUGAAGGGUGGUGUCAGGGAAUACUAAUUUCUUUCAGCUGAAUUACUUUUGAAUCAUUUACUGGUUGUGCUGUUUCGUAAGGUGUACCGUCAUCAGGAAUUUCCAGAUCAUCUUCAGUGUCAAUUAUUUCAAGGUAGCUUCUGAGGAGUGACAUGAGAUGCACAUUUUACCUAAGAAUAACUCAGCAUGUUCAAAACAACGCAAUACUGUUGUUUUUUUUAAAACCAUAUCAGGACUAUUUUUCAAUUCUAACCCGCCGGUUCCCCUGUCUUCCACGGCCAAAGCUGUGGAUUUGGGGGGUUUCAAGGUGGAACAAUGAUUUUGUGGUCCGAUAGCUUAGGUUCUACAUGUACCUUUGAUAAGGGGGGUUAGUCAUAAGACCCCGUAACUAAUAAUAAAUGCAAAAGAAACACAAGCGCUUGGACACACUGAAAAUUAUGGUGUUAUGUACUUUUUAAUUAAACUCUAGAUCUGCACUAUUACUCAUCAAUUACAACACAUUUCCAAAAAUACUAAUAAUCUCCAAGAUCAAAAUAUAUAUAUUACACUUCAACCUAAAUCCUAAUGGGGAAGGGGUUUGAUGGGAUUAGUGGGGAAAUGGAAGUUAGUUUUCUUGGCCACUUUCAUGCAAUCGCAGAUGUUGGUCAAAACAGUGCUCUUGCUCUUGAUGCUGGGGUCUUGAAUCUUUAGGUUGCAGAAUUGCUCGAAGUAAUAUCAUGUCUCAGAUGAUUCAUUCUUACCUUUUUUCCCUUUUCUUCUUCUUGCGAGCCCUCUCCCCCCCCCCUUCCUGGUAAAAUAUGCACUUCGGACAGAAGGCAACCUGACUGUACAUGUUGGCUCAGGGCGAUGCUCCUCUGCCAAUACCUUGUAUGGAAUAAUCACGUUGUUGGAGUAUUCAGGCACAUGCUUUGGGGAGGAAGCUUUGGUUUUGGAGGGGGUUUCCAUGAUAUCUUUGGUGUCCUAAAUCCAUCUGGAAACACCACCACAGCAUUCGGAGUCCAUUUCUCCUGUCUUACAUGUAUUCAUGUAGACUUACAAGUAUGUGAUCUUUCUUUCUUGCAGGGAUUUUCUUUUUUGAGGCGGCAGUGUCCAUAACUUUUUAAGUUCUGGAGGAAUCCAGUGAGAUUUAUUUGUCUUGCUGAAACUCUGCUCAAUCAAUUGAUGAAGACGAUGUACAAAAAAGAAGAAACAUGUUCUGCUGCUUGCAAAUUUAAAUGUAAAAUUUCAUUCUGUUACAAAGAGAAAUCUCAAAGAAAUUGCUCGUCCAUUUCAAUAAAGUUGCAGUUAUUCUUUAAACAAAAUUGUUCCAAAUUAUUGUUAUAUGUCAAGCUAUGCUGGUGUAAAAAUUCACAAUCCCAUCAGGAAAGAAUACUUGAAAACACAAUUCUUGCAGUCCGGAACCUUUCCCUCAUGCUACACAAAAGACGAAGUCACGAAAAUAUGCAUCAACAUCCUUGCUCCAAAAACUUCUCUAAAUUAUUGGUUCCAACGUGGAUGAUGACAAAAGCAGUUUAAAAGUCUUUAAGGCCAUCAAAUUUCUUGAUGACUUUUUUCCGCAAAGAUUGCAGAGUCGCUCCUGGAAAACUGAAUUUCGAAUUCUACUUUGAAAUCUAUAUAAUUCUUGUUUUGCAUGAUUUGGUUUAAAACUUUGCUUCAACUUAUGAUAAAACGUUGACUGAUGCCAUGUUUAUCUGUUUUAGUGCAGUGCUGCUAAGUUGCGAUGUUCCAACAGUGUCAGGACAGGAGGAAUGCACUCCUAUGCUUGCAUUUUCAGCAUACAUUUAGAGUCAUUGGCCUGUAAUCUGAAGUCUGGCUUACUUUGUCGUCAUAGGAAUCCGAAAACCAAAUUGAUGUUCUUAGUGCUAUAGACAUAUAGAAUGUUUUAAAUAUGUAUACAAAAACCCACUGUUGGGUUUAAAAUAUUACGUAAGUCUAUGUUAAAUACAUGUUCAACAGAAGAAAGGAAUAAGCUCAACCACGCAUCAAAACAGAACGGCAAACAGAGAUGAAGAAGUACCAACUCAGAAGACACAACAUAAUAGAACUGAACUCUAUGAAGUCUGGUAGUGCACUGGUUUAUUAAAUGGUUGCUUUGCCUCAGUAAAACUCAAGUCAUAUUACAGAAUUAACAUAUAUUCAAAUUAAGUAAUAUAGACCAAAAUAAAAAGAAUGGAGGAGCCAACAAAAAGUGCAGGAGUCUAAUUUAUGAUACUAACCAAUAAGAGAUAGUGAAUGGAGAUCAAUAACAUGUUUGGUUGAUUACAUAGUAAGAAUCAGAUGUGGGAAUGUAAUGAAUGAACACAUCUGAAUAGGAAAGGAAUGACAGGAGAAGUAGGUUGAAAGUCAAAUGUGAAUGGAUGACAACAGAAGCAUCAAGAAUGUAAACAAAGCUGAACUAAAUACCAAAGCUGGACCUGUAAAUAACUAAACUAUGAAAGGAUACCAAAUGUCAAAACAACAGUCCUACAGUACACUCGCUUAAUAAGAAAAAGAAUGUGAUUUCCACUCAUUUGUGACCCUUUCCCUUUUGAUGAUUCUGUGCCCACUGGUGAAAUGCUGUAUAGUCUAGACCUACAUAAUUCUGCUAUUGAUCGUCAACUAACAAAUUACUCCAGGUGGGUGUUUCAUUUAGCUGUUUGGAAGUUAAUAACGACUGGUGAUCCUUUCUUAAUUAUGCCCUAAAACAAUCACCAAUGAGCAUUUAAUUGUGAAUAUCAUUUACCACAAAAAAGGAUCAUCAGUUAUUAACGUAGCUCUCAAUUCAUGAACAGCUUCAUGAAAUGGCCCCCGGAAUAGUUGCUUUUCUCAGUCUUUUAAACAUAUUGAGUGUAAAAUUACGCAAAACCCCUAGCAAUCAUUGGUUUUAUGUACACUUGUGCUCAAAUGUUAGUGAACCCCAACACAAAAUGCACUGCUUCAUGCUGAGUGUUGAAUGUAGACAACAACUCUACAAUGUUUGGCGAGCCCAGAGAAACAAAGUUUAUGAAUUUGAUAUUUUGUCACCUGACUUCAGAAUUGUCUAUAGAUGGCAGCAAUUGGACACUUUAAAUAUGUUUAUUUUUCUGGUAGGGUUCACUUGGUUUUGAGCACCACUGUGUACUAUGUGUACUCUAUGUGUAAUGAAAUGGUAUUCUGUCAUCAGAAACACUGUCGUACAACUCGUACCGUUUUGUGCUUUCCUCACAGAAAUGUUGUGAGCCUAACAGAGUGCUAACAGUAAGCCAAGUCACAUAUUCCAGAUUGUGAAGUCAAAACAUAUCAAUGUGUAGGUAAUCGGUCGUAACUGGGCCUCAGUGCAUUUGUAAUGCGGUCAGUACUGGUUAUGGCUGAAACAUUCAAGUAUUAGAUUCACUCUGUUAACUACAGUCACACCCAGAUAACCAACUCCAGACUGACCAGUUGGUAGCAUUGUAAGUUGUCAGCACUGACAAGUUGGCUUUCUCUGACAGUUACCAUAGUAACAGUCAGAGGCAAGUGCCUCGCAGCCAAUCAAAACCAAGGAUUUCACUGAUAUUAUCAGCACCGAUAAUUUUGUCAGUGCUGACAACUUUCAUGAAACACCCCUCUGAGCAUUGCUACUUAUGCUGUAAUACGAUGGCCCAUAUUUUGAACACUGCUUUGAAUCAAUUCCUCUCUUAAGUUGAUCUCUGACAGUAGGCUAUAGGUAAGAUUCAUUAGCUCAAUUUGUAACCGAGGUCAUUUGUAAAUGUCUGGAAAUAACAAAUAAAAUGUUUUUUUGCCAUUAUAACAUAAGGAAAGAGCACAGUAAACAUAGGAAAAUACAGAGUUACCAAAAUGUUGAAAUGUUUAGACUUCCAUUAUUUUCAAUACAGAGUUAGACUGUUGCCUAUUAAAUUUAAAGUAGACUUCAUAAUAUGUACCAAUCUGUUUGCCACAUAAAGUUCAUUGAUAACAUUUGGUUCUAAACCACAGAAUUCCAAGAACUUUAAGUUCUGAAUCAAUUUUCUAGAAUUCGACAAAUAUUGAUUAAUCCAUGGAAUAAUAUUAUAUUAAAGACUCAUAAGACAAAGCAAUGGGGAAUGUAAAGCAGUCUUUGAAUCACACUAUUUUUUUCCAUAGUCAUAUGUGAAGAGUAGUGAUGCAAAGCUGCUUGCCGGGUACUGUGUUCCUGGGUGAAAGGCAUGGCUCGUACUUCUCAUUAGGUGCCUUAUUCAGUUUUUGCAAAGUUCAAAGUCAUGUCUAAUAUUUGUGUUAGCUGUAGAAAGUUAAAAUGAAAUUUGUAUGUAUAGUUUGAAUAUUAAAAAUUUAUGAUAUA
Molecule: long non-coding RNA, 7370 nt
Filed under: Lytechinus variegatus (green sea urchin)
Lineage: Eukaryota; Metazoa; Echinodermata; Echinoidea; Temnopleuroida; Toxopneustidae
Description: uncharacterized LOC121428852
Source: RNAcentral